UCUUUCUCUUUAUAAAGUGCUUUCUUUGGAAACAAAGCCGAGGAAAACGAAGGCCGUGAAUCCAACAGCCAAGCCGACAACUGAGUGGUCAUAAAACGCGACUCUUUAUUCGUUAUUGUAAUAGGAAGCCCUUGUCAUUGCUAAUUGAGUCUGUUCACCGUAGCUAGAGGAUUGUGAAGAAGACGUGGAAUGACCAAUAAUUGAGACAGAGAAUGUCCCAUUCGUGGAUCUAUCUAGCGCCAUUCAUGGACCUCAACUUUUUUCCUUGCGUGUCGUUCAGGUAUGCAGACGGAAAUCGGGAUGACAAAUGGAUCCAGGAGGAAGAAAAAAGAAAUGGUCCUUUUGUAGGCAAGACCUUUACUUCAGAUCAGUAGCAAGGCGAAGGACACUUCGAUUAAGUUCGAAAUCAGGAUGGUCCUGAAGAGAAUUGGGACCGAAAUGUAUGCUCAAAGCCCGCCGAGAAGACCAUCUUUACGUGUGUUGUAGUUCCAAUGAGCCUUAUGCCUCUGCUUCUCCUCUGCCUUUUCUGCUUCUGAAAGGCCAAAGAGUCCUUUUGAUAUGCUCCUCAGAAAGGAGGCUUUAAGGCCUUUUCCUCUUUACCGCUCUCUUCAAUCCAACUCCAAGCUAGCUGGAAAGUGGCCAAAGCUGCUUGGGCUUGGGAUCCUGCAGACCCCUCCACAGGGUGUCCCAUAACUCCCAAUUCCAUCAGUUGUUCCAUAUCAACUAUUCAGCGCUAUUACCACUCACACGAGCUCACUUUCACCACCGCUAAUACUACCGCCCAAUAUCUAAUUAUUGGUACAAAUAUCAGUGGAUGAGUGGCCCCAAGGUCGGAAGACUAGAGCUCAGUGCUUUAAUCACUUCUCAAGGUGAAGCUGAGAUGGACCUGAGGAACUAACCCAAUGAUGGAAGCGUGAAACGUCCGGCCAUCUGUACGAAUGGGAAUCCCCACUGAGUACAAGACCAAUUUGAGUAAUGCAACGGAGGAAUGUGUUGUCCUCUGUCCUCACAUUAAGGAGAGAUGUGUUCCCCCGCAUCAACACUCAUGGCAGAUGUUCCCACGACAUUUCUCGAAAGAUGACACAGCCUCAUAUAGACGACUCUCUUGUCCCACUUCCUUCCGUUCUUCAGGAGCGACUUUCUCAAUGGCGUUUCGGAUUGGGGACUCAAAAUUGAGUUUCGAUUACGCACAACAAAACACUUGCAAAGGCAUGCAUGCAUGCAUGCAUACGGUGUAGAUUGACUCGUAGAGUGUAGUGUACAUACUCAAAGAGACACAAUGUGACGCGACAUUCAUCUUCAUUAGUCAUCGUCGGUCCUUGAGCCUUGGGACAACUUUCAGCAAGCCUUUCAUUUUUCAACGAAAUCCAAGCUGAAUUGGAGGACAGCAAUAUUUUGUGGCUUCUCAAAAUUCGAUUGAUUCAAGUCCAAUAGAUUUGUUUCCAAGAUGUUGCCGAAUCAAUCCGCCAGGGAUAAAAAAUAAAAGACAUUAAAA
Tigriopus californicus is the source of this 1495-nucleotide long non-coding RNA. RefSeq lists it as uncharacterized. The record is from RefSeq and is a predicted model, not a curated record. The transcript is spliced from 2 exons. Lineage: Eukaryota; Metazoa; Arthropoda; Copepoda; Harpacticoida; Harpacticidae.